Molecule: RNA transcript, 876 nt
Organism: Chiloscyllium plagiosum (whitespotted bambooshark)
Lineage: Eukaryota; Metazoa; Chordata; Chondrichthyes; Orectolobiformes; Hemiscylliidae
Source: RefSeq, a predicted model, not a curated record
GGGCUCUCUGAUUGACGUCUCUCACAGUCAAUCCAAAUAUUUCCUUAUGAAUGCGAAUUUCCUGAAAUUUGCGAAAAGGACUGGCGAAACGGAGUUGACUUUGAGCAGUAGAUCAGACCUAAACUUCUAACGAGAUAUUGUGACAACAGGAGCAAGUCGCUCUACACCCACUCUCAGUCUUGAAGAAGGGUUACACCUGAAACGUUGACUUCUCCACCUCCUGAUGCUAUCUGGCUGAUGCUGUGUUCUUCCAGCCUCCUGCCUGUCUAUUCUGUUUACAGCCCAGCUGGAAACCAGCACAUGAUUGUGAGGACACCAUGAUUAAAGCAUCUUCAACCAAUAAUAAAGGAUUGCUCUGUACUACACCAGAAAAUGCAGAGAGGAUAGACACCGCAGAGAGAUCCUGACCAUCACCCAAGGAACGACUGCACAACUGUGGGAAGACAUCUGGUUUCUUUGCAGUAUUGCUCAACACAGAAAAGAUUAGGCAGUGAGACUAUCAUCUAGAAAUUGGUUAGGUUGGGGGAGCUUUGACACAUCAUCAGAUCUGAAACUGGUCAGUGAUGUGGAGCCUUCCAUCAGAACUAACCUUUCUGAAGGUUUGGCUAUGGGUGAUCAGUCAGGGUGAGGUUGGGAAGAAGUGUGAGGGGCUUGAAAUGUGGUGAGAGCUUCAAUCAUUCAUCAAGCUUCAUAAAGCAUGGACUUAAUCCUACUGGUGAGAAGGUGUUCAUGUGCAAGGUAUGUGUGUAAGACUCCAUAGGCUUAUAAGAACCCCAAUGAUACAAGAUUCAUCCAUUGUACAACUAUUAGAUUAGAUUAGGUUACAUUACAGUGUGGAAACAGGCCCUUCGGCCCAACAAGUCCACACCGACCCGC